This is a non-coding RNA of Stegodyphus mimosarum, 73 nucleotides long. The record is from Rfam. Lineage: Eukaryota; Metazoa; Arthropoda; Arachnida; Araneae; Eresidae.
GCCUUCGUGGUGUAAUGGUCAGCACACUGAGCCGGUAUUUCAGAGGUCCGCGGUUCGAUUCCCAGCGAAGGCG